AAUGAACGCUGGCGGCAUGCCUAACACAUGCAAGUCGAACGAAGGCUUCGGCCUUAGUGGCGCACGGGUGCGUAACGCGUGGGAAUCUGCCCUUGGGUUCGGAAUAACAGUUAGAAAUGACUGCUAAUACCGGAUGAUGUCGUAAGACCAAAGAUUUAUCGCCCAAGGAUGAGCCCGCGUAGGAUUAGCUAGUUGGUGGGGUAAAGGCCUACCAAGGCGACGAUCUUUAGCUGGUCUGAGAGGAUGAUCAGCCACACUGGGACUGAGACACGGCCCAGACUCCUACGGGAGGCAGCAGUGGGGAAUAUUGGACAAUGGGCGAAAGCCUGAUCCAGCAAUGCCGCGUGAGUGAUGAAGGCCUUAGGGUUGUAAAGCUCUUUUACCCGGGAUGAUAAUGACAGUACCGGGAGAAUAAGCUCCGGCUAACUUCGUG
This 433-nucleotide ribosomal RNA is filed under the name uncultured bacterium. Its description in RNAcentral is "partial 16S ribosomal RNA". It matches the Rfam family "Bacterial small subunit ribosomal RNA", at positions 29 to 507 of the family's 1533-position model. The record is from RNAcentral.